This 924-nucleotide ribosomal RNA is filed under the name uncultured bacterium. RNAcentral describes it as "bacterial SSU rRNA". It matches the Rfam family "Bacterial small subunit ribosomal RNA", at positions 576 to 1498 of the family's 1533-position model. The record is from RNAcentral.
CGGCUCAGCAAGUCGGCCGUGAAAGCCUGAGGCUCAACCUCAGGACGCCGGUCGAAACUGCUGUGGCUAGGGUCCGGUAGAGGAGAGUGGAAUUCCCGGUGUAGCGGUGAAAUGCGCAGAUAUCGGGAGGAACACCAGUAGCGAAGGCGGCUCUCUGGGCCGGUACCGACGCUGAGGAGCGAAAGCUAGGGGAGCAAACAGGAUUAGAUACCCUGGUAGUCCUAGCCGUAAACGUUGGGCACUAGGUGUGGCGGAUUCAUUGACAUCUGCCGUGCCGAAGCUAACGCAUUAAGUGCCCCGCCUGGGGAGUACGGUCGCAAGGCUAAAACUCAAAGGAAUUGACGGGAGCCCGCACAAGCGGCGGAGCAUGCGGCUUAAUUCGAUGGUACCCGAAGAACCUUACCUGGACUUGACAUAAUGGGAAAAACUGUAGAGAUACAGUGUGCGUAAGCGUCCAUUACAGGUGGUGCAUGGCUGUCGUCAGCUCGUGUCGUGAGAUGUUGGGUUAAGUCCCGCAACGAGCGCAACCCCUGUCCUAUGUUGCCAGCGGAUAAUGCCGGGGACUCAUGGGAGACUGCCGGGGACAACUCGGAGGAAGGCGGGGACGACGUCAAGUCAUCAUGCCCCUUAUGUCCAGGGCUGCACGCAUGCUACAAUGGCAGGUACAACGGGCAGCGAUCCCGCGAGGGUUAGCGAAUCCCCAAAGCCUGUCUCAGUUCGGAUCGGAGUCUGCAACUCGACUCCGUGAAGUCGGAGUCGCUAGUAAUCGCGAAUCAGCAAUGUCGCGGUGAAUACGUUCUCGGGCUUUGUACACACCGCCCGUCACAUCACGAAAGUUGGCAACACCCGAAGUCAGUGGCCCAACCGCAAGGAGGGAGCUGCCGAAGGUGGGGUCAGCGAUUGGGAUGAAGUCGUAACAAGGUA